CCUCUUCUUCUCCUCUUCGCGACGGAAGCCAAACCCUAGCAAGCUCACCUCAGCACCACCGCCACCCGCCGUCGCCGAUCUCCUCCGCACCAUGGCGGCGCCGAAGCCCAUCUGGGUGCGCCAGGCCGAGGAGGCGAAGCUCAAGUCCGAGGCCGACACCACCGCCGCCGCCAAGGCCGCCUUCGACGCCACCUUCCGCGCCCUCUCCGCAUCCGCCCACGCCGACCAGCCGCCCCAGGACCCGGAGCCCUCCUCCUCCUCCCCCGCCCAGCCCUCCUCCUUCCCCGCCCUCCGCGCCGCCUCCGCCAACUCCGACACGGACUCCGACGACGACGACCGUCCCCGCGCCCCGCCGGGUCCCGUCGACCCCGCCAAGUCCUCCGCCGCCGGCCCCGGCAUCGCCGGCGGCUCCGCGGCCGCGCCGGCCACCUUCACCGUCGUCGGCAAGGACCGCGACGGGCGCCGGGUCACCUCCGGCGGCGCGAGCGUGCGCGUCCGCGUCCGCCCCGCGGACAACUCCGACAGCUCCGACCUCGAGGGCGCCGUCAGGGACAACGCCGACGGCUCCUACGCCGUCACCUACGUCGUCCCCAGGCGCGGCAACUACAUGGUCCACGUCGACCUCGACGGCGCGCCCAUCAUGGGCAGCCCCUUCCCCGUCUUCUUCAGCGCCGCCUCCACCACCACCGCGUCCCCGUACCCCACCGCCACCACAACCUUCCCCACUACCUCCUCCGCGUACCCCAACAUGGUCAACCAGACCAUGCCCAACAUGCCCAACUACGCGGGCUCCUUAACCUCCGGCCCCUUCCCCAGCAUGAUCGGCCUCUUCCCCGGCUCCUCCACAGGCUCGUCCGGCGGGGUCACCCUGCCUGGCGUCGGUGCCUCGCUGGGGGAGAUUUGUCGGGAGCACAUCAAUGGCAAGUGCACCAAGGGGACCGACUGCAGGUUCAGCCACCCACCGCAGCAGCUGCUCAUGUCAGUCAUGGCUGCCCAAACGUCUGUGAGCACGCUGGGCCACGCUCCCAUGGCGCCAUCCGCCGCGGCCAUGGCGGCCGCGCAGGCCAUCAUGGCUGCCCAGGCACUUCAGGCACAUGCUGCUAAGAUGCAAGCUGAUGCCAAGGCUGCAGCGCUGGCUCCAGGUCCGACGGAAGCUGAGAAAGCCGAGACUCUGAAGAGAACUGUUCAGAUUAGCAACCUGAGCCCACUGCUUACUGUGGAGCAUCUCAAGCAGAUGUUUGGGUAUGUCGGCAAAGUUGUUGACUGUACCAUUGCAGACUCGAAACAUACUGCUUAUGUGGAGUACACCAAACCGGAAGAAGCAACCGCAGCGUUGGCGCUCGGUAACGUGGAUGUUGGUGGUCGCCCGUUGAAUGUUGAGAUGGCUAAGUCUCUUCCUCAAAAGGCUACUUUGGCAAAUAGCAAUUUGCCUUUGAUGAUGCAGCAAGCUGUUCAGUUGCAACAGAUGCAGUUCCAGCAGGCACUGAUGAUGCAGACGGCAUUGGCAGCUCAGCAGACUGCUUCACGUGCAGCUACUAUGAAAAAUGCCACUGAAGCAGCAGCAGCACGGGCUGCUGAAAUAAGCAGGAAGCUGAAGGCAGAGGGCUUUGGUGGGGAAACUGUGGAAGAAAAGGAGGCCAAAGAGAAGUCAAGAUCGCUCUCACCCCCUUCUCGUAGGUCCAAAUCUCGGUCAAGAUCACCUAUCAAGUACCAUCGGAGUAGGCGGGAUCGCUCUUACUCUCCACCAGUUAGACGCUCCCGGGAGCACCGAUCACGAUCUCCAUCAAGAUCUCACCACUACUCAAAGUAUGGGAGUGACCGGUCAUAUAGGGACGAUAGGGACAAGUAUAGCAGGUCUGGGAGAAGAGAGAGUGAUCGAUCCCGUGAUCAUUAUUCAUCUAGUUCAAGGAGGAACAGAAGUAGAAGUAUAAGCCCGAGGUAUAAGAAGUCAUCGAGAGCUGAUUCUCGGUCACCGAAGCGGCAAAGGGAAGAAAGUUUAAGCCCAUCGAAAUCAAGAAGGUCAGGUCGUGCUGAUUCAAGGUCACCGAGGCGUCAUAAAGGAAGCAAAUCAUCACCAACACGUGACGAGCGUUCUUCUCGUCGUAGCAGGCAUUCAAGAUCCAGGUCACAAGAGAGAAAGCAUCGUAGCAGUGAUAAGAAGGACGUAAAAAAAUCUGAGACGCAGGAUGACAAAAAAAGAUCUAGCAGAUCUAGUAGAGGUGGAAAAGAUGAAAGGUCUGUAAAGGACCCAGUGGAAGAUAAGAAUGUGGAUACUUCUGUUGUUGCUCAUAAAAGGAGUUCAUCUGUAUCUGAAGAUGAAAUGCUGACCAGUGAUAAUGGUAAUCACAAGAAACCUAGGCAUGAUGCUGCCCUGGAGUAUGACAAGAGGAAGAAUGAGGACAGUAUUGAGGAUGGUGCUGGGAUGACUGGAGAUAAAAUUGACGUGGACAGAAAAUACAGAGAAGACGAAUCAAAACAUUCUUCUAAGGAUAAAAGCUCUCGUCAUUUGUCUUCACGGUCCCAUAGAAGCUCAAGACGUUCCGGGGAAAAACACCAUAGGGAUGGUACUGACCAGCAUGAAUUGAAGAGAUCAGAAGAGGGUGCUAGAGCUAGGAAAGACAGUAGUUCUCUUGAUGAUCCCUUUUCUUCGGAUAAAAGGAAAGUCCAUAAGGAGAGCUCUCCUGAUAGAAAGCUUAAUCAGUCGAAAGCUGGUUCAGAUUCUGAAGGCAUCAAUCAUGACACUGAAGUUAGGCUGCGGAAUGCUUUACUAGAAAAGGCAAAUCUGGUUAUCCAGGAGGACCUACAGUUUGCUGAUGAAACUGGUGCGUCGUCUACAGAUAAAUGCUCAGCAGAUGUUCCAUUGCCUGCAUCCGUGUCCAACAUUAAUGGGCAACAUGGACCUGAAGGAGAUGGUGCUUUAGGGGAGUCUGCCAUAUGAUGUUAAGCAGAGUGUUCACCUGAGUCUGCUCAACCAAUGGAUGCAUAGCGCUGAACUAGUGUUUGUUACCUCCUUUCUGAUUUAGGAGUUUUAUUUGCAGGAUAUGGAGAUCUCAGGAGAGCUUCAGUGUGGACCAGAGUGUUCGUCUGAUCUAUAAAAAAUGUAUUCCUCAUUAUACUUAAUUGAUGGAGAUUAACUCCUAAAUGUAACACUGGAGACUGUAAGGUUAUUUAGUACAGCGAGGUCAAAACCAACCAACCAUAUACUUGUCGUUGCAGGCUUGUGGAGAGUUGGAGCUGAUUCUGCGGUGAAGAUUGAAGGCAGUGCGCACUUAUCCAUACUCAAGGUCUGCUCGAGAAGCCAGUAACUGACUGGUGUGUGAGGCAAUUGUUGAGAAAGUCCAAGCAUUUUCUCGAGGGAUGUUCCCUUGAUAGUUCCAGAGAUAAGCAGCAUGCCUUCAGAUAUAUAGCAUUCCUUAUGUCUUCUUUUGGCUGUUUUUUUCCGAGGCACUGUCUCUGCAAAGAGCAAUUUUGCUACUCAGUUACUAUUUACAUGCUGUGAUGGGUGUUGUGAUUGGAAAAAUAUGUGCAGGUUUUAUGAAAGGUGAUUGCAGUUGGAGCAUGCUUUGAGGGGAUUGUGAGGCAUGCUAACUUUAGAAGCUGCUUUGUGUGUAGAAGAGGAGUCAGGACUAAUGUCAGGUGCUUGGUAGAUUGUAGUUUUGGUGUCACUGGACUGUCGAGUUCGAUUAGAGUAGACUAGACUAAACUAGAAGAUGACAAGUUGAGCAAAUUAAACACUACUGAUGAGUUAAUGUGUCUGUUUGGAUUUAUUGGAUCAAUACCUUGCAAUAUCAGUGGUGGGUUUCGUACUUAGGGUUCUUGAUAGAAACUUGUGUUCAUAUUUACGGCAGACAUGUGGACAUGCAUUCUUGGACAAGUCGUAGUGUGCUGGCAUGUCAGUUUCCUAGUUUUAUCUCCUUCAAGUAGCUGUCUUUUGCCUUUCUCCUCUUUCAUUCGCUUGUCUUCACUAGGAUGAUGACUUGACAAUUGACAUAGGCAACUUUGUCCCAGAUUGCUAUAAGUUCCUCCUAGCUGCUAGGUCAUCUUUUCGGUGUCACUGGUAGAUGAAGUUCGACUAGAGUAGCAGAUGGCAGGCUGAGUAAAUUAAAGACGAUUUACCUGGGAGACACUUGGUUAUAGAUGCAUCAGUAGUAACAGAUCUGGGUGACAUGUAUCACAGUUCACAGGCUAUAUAUCUGGCCUGCACCUACAUAUGGAUCAAUAUUUCCUGAGACGGCAGUGUAGCAAUGGUCUCUAGACUGUCACGUUGACAUCAGCUAAGGAUCAACAAGUAGGCACAUUUUUCAUAUAACUACCUCCCACUCCCUCCAUCCCAUAGUAUAUUGGUUAUAAUAACAUCUUAUAUUAUGGGACAGAGGGAAUUAUUUAGUUUGUCUCAGAUUGUGACAAGUGUUUGAUAGAUUGUAUUUUCAGUGUUACUGGUCGGUCAAGUUCGACUAGAGUAACAGGUGACAGGAUGUACAAAUUAAACAGUGUACCAGUAGUAACAUUCCGGUGAGAUGUAGGUGACCAGUACUAUUAAUGUGCAUCCCAUUGACAUCAGCCUAGAAUCAGCCGAUCGUACAUAUACUGUUAAAGGGUAGCAGGGCACAUUACAUAUAGCUAACGAAUUUGGACCUAGCGAAAAGGACUCUAAGCCUUCGCGCAAACAAGCAAAGUAGAAGCAAGACGAGGAAGCGGAGCUGUCGUAGAA
Molecule: RNA transcript, 4711 nt
Organism: Lolium rigidum
Lineage: Eukaryota; Viridiplantae; Streptophyta; Magnoliopsida; Poales; Poaceae
Exons: 5
Source: RefSeq, a predicted model, not a curated record